UUUAACAAUGAGUUUUAGAGUAGACAAAUAUUCAAAUUAUGGUAAAUAUUAAUAGGGGAUAUUAGUCUGAGGUGUUUUAUUCUUGUAGUAUCUUAGCUUUGUCUGUUACAACAGAAUGUCUGAGACCAGAUAAUUUUAAAAGAAUAGAAAUUUAUUUCCUUACAGUUCUGGAGGCUGAGAAAUCCACAAUUAAUAUGUCAGCACCUGGUGAGGGUCUUCUUGCUGCAUCAGCAUAUAGUAGAAGGGCAAAGAGAGGAUUAAGAGGGAUCAAUCUCACCCUUUCAAGGUCAUUAGUCACCUCUUAAAGGUUUUGGCUCUUAAUACUGUUAUUGUGCUAUCUUUUUGUCACUGUAACAAAAUAUCUGAGAAGAACAUGUUAAAAGAGGAAAGAUUUAUUUUGGCUCAUACUUGUAGAGGUUUCAGUUCAUGGUCAGUUGGCUCCACUGUUUAAGGUCUAUGAUAAGGCAAUAUAUCAUGGUGGAAGAGUGUGGUAGAAAAAAGCUGCUCAUCUCAUGAUGCUGGGAAGCAGAGAACAGAAGGAGCUGGGGAGAAGAUACAGUCCCCAAAGACAUGCCCUCAAGGACCCACUCCUUUCACCUAGAUCCUACUUUCUACAUUUCCCACCACCACCCAAUAGUACACUCAGUCAUGACUCUCUUUUCUGAAUCUCCACAGGUCAACUGACUUACCUUCCUUUCCUUCCAUCAAAUGAUUAAUCCACUGAUGAGUUUUCGGCAGACACAACGUCUUUGUUUGUAUGUGGUGCUGAGGAUCGAACCCAGGCUGGACACAUGCCAGGCGAGCUUUUUUUGGGACUAUACCUAAGACCACUACCUUGACUUUACUAUAAAAGAACAGACAGCAUACUUUCUUCCUUCAUUCACUAUUGAGUACAUGACAAACAUCAAUUUAAAUUUUUUUCCCUUUUUCUUUAUUUGGGAUAUAUGCUUAAUGUGUAAAUCUUCUUUCAUGGUAUGAUAAGGGAUUAAAUUACUAGCUGCUUACCACAUUGGCCAGUACAAGAAAAAUAGGAGUUAAAAGACAAAUUUCUUUUUCUUCCUUAACCUAACAAUAUCUCAAUGUUCUAUUUUCCUAAUCCUACAUUUCUAAAACUUUUCUAGGACACAUGUAGAAUUGCUUCUUAACCCAAUUGUAAAACAAAACAAUAAAGGCUGUUUUUUUUGU
This is a long non-coding RNA of Marmota monax (woodchuck), 1185 nucleotides long. RefSeq lists it as uncharacterized. The transcript has 2 exons. Lineage: Eukaryota; Metazoa; Chordata; Mammalia; Rodentia; Sciuridae. The record is from RefSeq and is a predicted model, not a curated record.